This 466-nucleotide ribosomal RNA is filed under the name uncultured bacterium. RNAcentral describes it as "partial 16S ribosomal RNA". It matches the Rfam family "Bacterial small subunit ribosomal RNA", at positions 28 to 507 of the family's 1533-position model. The record is from RNAcentral.
GACGAACGCUGGCGGCGUGCUUAACACAUGCAAGUCGAACGGAAAGGCCCUGCUUGCAGGGUACUCGAGUGGCGAACGGGUGAGUAACACGUGGGUGAUCUGCCCUGCACUUCGGGAUAAGCUUGGGAAACUGGGUCUAAUACCGGAUAGGAGCCAUCUUUAGUGUGGUGGUUGGAAAGUUUUUUCGGUGUAGGAUGAGCUCGCGGCCUAUCAGCUUGUUGGUGGGGUAAUGGCCUACCAAGGCGGCGACGGGUAGCCGGCCUGAGAGGGUGUACGGCCACAUUGGGACUGAGAUACGGCCCAGACUCCUACGGGAGGCAGCAGUGGGGAAUAUUGCACAAUGGGCGCAAGCCUGAUGCAGCGACGCCGCGUGGGGGAUGAAGGCCUUCGGGUUGUAAACUCCUUUCGCUAGGGACGAAGCUUUGUUGUGACGGUACCUAGAGAAGAAGCACCGGCUAACUACGUG